GCCAGCCCGCUCAGAAACUUAAAGGAAUUGACGGGGGCCCGCACAAGCAGCGGAGCGUGUGGUUUAAUUCGAUGUUACACGAAGAACCUUACCCAGGUUUGACAUACAGGUGGUAGUGAUCCGAAAGGUGAGCGACCCGCAAGGGAGCCUGAACAGGUGCUGCAUGGCUGUCGUCAGCUCGUGUCGUGAGAUGUUCGGUUAAGUCCGCUAACGAGCGCAACCCUCGCUGUGUGUUACAAGUGUCACACGGGACCGCCGGUAUCAAGCCGGAGGAAGGUGGGGAUGACGUCAAGUCAGCAUGGCCUUUAUAUCUGGGGCUACACACACGCUACAAUGGUCGGUACAACGGGUCGCUAAGCCGCGAGGUAGAGCCAAUCCCACAAAGCCGGCCUCAGUUCAGAUCGUAGGCUGCAACUCGCCUGCGUGAAGUCGGAGUUGCUAGUAAACGCGCGUCAGCUAUAGUGCGUUGAAUACGUUCUCGGGCCUU
Molecule: ribosomal RNA, 487 nt
Filed under: uncultured Anaerolineaceae bacterium
Lineage: Bacteria; Bacillati; Chloroflexota; Anaerolineae; Anaerolineales; Anaerolineaceae
Description: bacterial SSU rRNA
Rfam family: Bacterial small subunit ribosomal RNA
Source: RNAcentral